AGCGAACGCUGGCGGCAGGCCUAACACAUGCAAGUCGAACGGGCACUUCGGUGUCAGUGGCAGACGGGUGAGUAACACGUGGGAACGUACCUUUUGGUUCGGAACAACACAGGGAAACUUGUGCUAAUACCGGAUAAGCCCUUACGGGGAAAGAUUUAUCGCCGAAAGAUCGGCCCGCGUCUGAUUAGCUAGUUGGUGAGGUAAUGGCUCACCAAGGCGACGAUCAGUAGCUGGUCUGAGAGGAUGAUCAGCCACAUUGGGACUGAGACACGGCCCAAACUCCUACGGGAGGCAGCAGUGGGGAAUAUUGGACAAUGGGCGCAAGCCUGAUCCAGCCAUGCCGCGUGAGUGAUGAAGGCCCUAGGGUUGUAAAGCUCUUUUGUGCGGGAAGAUAAUGACGGUACCGCAAGAAUAAGCCCCGGCUAACUUCGUGCCAGCCGCCGCAGUAA
RNAcentral lists this ribosomal RNA (449 nucleotides) under uncultured bacterium. Its description in RNAcentral is "partial 16S ribosomal RNA". It matches the Rfam family "Bacterial small subunit ribosomal RNA", at positions 29 to 523 of the family's 1533-position model. The record is from RNAcentral.